Non-coding RNA from Podarcis lilfordi (Lilford's wall lizard), 115 nucleotides. Lineage: Eukaryota; Metazoa; Chordata; Lepidosauria; Squamata; Lacertidae. The record is from the annotation of a GenBank genome assembly.
AAUGGGUUGUAUCCAGAUUAAGUUAGUUGCACUUCAACCCCAUUACUUUUAACAUAGGUUAUGUGAAAAGUAAUGGGAUCUAAGUGCAACUAACUUAGUCUGGAUCCUACCCAAU